CAUCUUCUGAAGAUAUUUGAAUAUGAUAGCCAAGAAGACUGAGCAGUCUUUGAAGAAACAGAGGACCAUGCAGCUGAAGAGAUGCAAUAGGUUUUCAGAGAACUGAAUCCUUGCACAUCCUUCAGCUGAAUAAGCCCACCCUUCUGAAGAGUUUGGUCCAGGCUUUGUACAUCAAACAACCUUCAGUGAAGUUAUUCUUGCCUCAUACAAGUGGUAAGAGGAAAGCAAGUUAUUCAUAUUUAAUGCUAUUUUGUGCCAGAUGUUUUGCUGGUAGAAAUCCAUAGCUCCACAGGCACCAAUUUCUUCAGGAUCUGGAAUGUCUGGCCCAAUUUCUUUCUCACUGUGGAUGGUCUGUGAAAGAAACCACUUUAUUUUGCAAUAUUGAAUAUUCUUGCCGGGAAGUUAUAAACAAAAACAAAAUAAUGAGAGACAGGGUCUCUAAUAAGCUUCCUGUCGCAUGAGGCUCUGGUUCUAUUGAAGCAUAUGUGUUUGCUGACUUGCUUCCAAAAGGUUUGUUGAGUGGUGGUGAUUAGUUUCUGUUGUACUGAUAUUAUCUCUCUGUAGUCUCAUUCAAUACAAGUAGUUCUGUAAACAGUGAAGUCUUUUUUUCCUACGGGUUUGUACCUUGGAUUGUGUUUCAGCAUGGAUUCUCUGAUGUUUAAUGGGGAUUGAGUUCAUGUUCAGCCAAUUUCUUCAAUGAGGGAUGAAUAAUCUGUCUUUUUGGCCAUCUAUUUCCACAAAAUUUGCUGGAAUUAAAUAUCUUCAACGCCCUCUAUCAAAGUUGACUGGGAUUUAUGAACAAGUUUUGGAGUUAUUUGGGGCUGUCCAAUGUAGAUAAAAGAGAGUCUCAUUUUCUUACAAAAACAGAAUGUAAAAAUGCAUUUUUAAAGUGUUUUGUCUGAUUCUGUUCUAUUUGUGACCAGUCAUAUAGGAUGUGUUUUAUUUGUAAAGCUGUAUAAAAGUAUGAUGUGGGUUUUUUUGCCCUGUUGAGUGCAUAUUAAAGCAUCUUUAGUUUAUUCUUGUUAUGGGCCAGCUGAGAUUGCUUUUUUUUUUGGUCCUUGUUGGAACAUGGGAAAAGGUUUACACAGGUGAGUGCAGAGAAAGGACACAUGGUUGCUCAUUUAGUACCAGAGAUCUCUGCUUCUGGUUUGGAAAGGAAGAAAGGAAACACAGAAUUGAAUAUAACCUUUUAGCUUGCUGAGUCCAGUUUUGUGCUUCUGCAGGGAGCUAAGUUCUCAAUCCUUCUCACAAGCAGACAGUGCUAUUCAAAAAUGUACUCUUUCCUCCUUGUUGUGUCUCCUAUCUUCCUAGUUACCUACUUUAUUUGGGAGACUGCUCUAGAAUCUCCUAAUUUUGACAGGAAGAAAACCACUAAUUUCUGUGGUCACUUUAUGUAUCUUUUUUCUUAUUCCAUGAAAAAAAAAAGACAUCUAUUCAUUUUGUUGUUGUUGUUGUUGUUUACAUCCUGUAGGUAAGACAGAUCUGGAUAUCUCUUUAUCUUUCUAACCUUCUGUCAGGUUACUUUGCUUAAUGUAAAUGAACAAUUAAUUUAAAAUAGAAAAGGUCAGUAAUUCAAGAGGUAGAAGAAGUGGAUCAGACGAGAAGGUGAGUAGAUCAGACACAAAUGUGAUGUGUUCAUUAUGCCAUCUGUUUAUGGUAAAGGAGGAGCUAUCACAUGGGAACAGAACAAGAGGUAGAGAUCAGGCCUCACUCAUAUUCCCUUGCAAAAUAGCCAGAUUUCUUCAUUUGAUUACAGCGGAUUAAGCUCUUGGUUCUGAGCUGAAUCUCUGAAUGAUCCCAAAGAGGACAGCAAUGGAAAUUUUAAACCCCAAUUCUGGAACUGUGAUUGUUCUUGCUGUGAAGCUUUUCCUUCAAAAGACAUUGUGAGCUGGAACCAGCAUCUGCAUUAUGCAGUGACCACCUUUUGGUGCUCAGCAUCCACUCUUAAACACUGGAUGAAGCCUCUCACAGAUACUGGGUGCAGAGAACUCCUUCAAAUUCUUCAUGUCCAAAUGAUUUCUGAACACUGAUCAUCCUGGUUCCCUAAGAAAACACAUUGGCAGCCAAAGAUAACUGGAGCGAAAUGUGGCUGAACUCGUUAGCUUCCUUGCCUCCUCUAAGCCUCACCUGGUCCCAGGGGUCUGCAAGGGUGUGCAUGGUGGGCAGCCCUCACCUAGGAACAUCACCUGUGCCUGGCAGAUUAAGAUUGGAAGGGAUAUUUCCUGUUUUCUGGCCCCUUUUGGGACUGGCAAAAGGAAGCCAGAGAGCCCAGAACAUGAGCAAAAGUCUUCCAAAUCUUUGUUAACUGGAAGGAUGGUGGAUAUUGGCCAGUGGUGUCUGGGUGUAAAAGCAAAUCAGAGUCUCAGGAGCCUAACAGGAAAUGCAGAUGACUGGGGGUGAAUGUCCCAACUUUCUUUUCUUCUUUUUUCUUUUUUUUUUUAAAUUUUAAUCUUAGACUUUAGCAACUGAUGUGACAGAGAACAACCACAGCUGCAUAACGUGCAUUUGAGAACAGCAGUGCACAUAUACCUCUGAUUUCCACACAAGUGUUGUUAAUGAUCUCAUUGCCAUGUGGUGCCACCUUCAUAUUUAAUUUUGGUUGUUAUUCUGGCUAUAAGAGUAUGCUGUCUACUUGUGUGGCUGCAAACUCAGACCUGUGCAGAUCUGUGUUACCUAAGAUUUAAUGCAUCCAUACCAUAUUUGCAUGCCUCUCCAAAGUUCCUGGAGAAAUUAAAGGUCCAAAGUUCAGCUUUAUGUUAAUAGAUCUGGAUAUGCCCAAUAUUUAACUUCCACGGACAAAAGAACUGCAUGAAGAGCUGGCUUGUCUUGCUGCAUUUUGAAGGUGUCAGCACUGUGCGCUGCAGAACUUCAUGCAACCUUAGGGAAAAAAAGGAAAAAAAAAAGCCAAGUGUAUGCUCAGUGGAAAACAGAUGGAUUUUUCAUUAGAUAUAACUGUUAAUGAUCUGCUUUAAAAGUAAAGAUAUGCCAUUCUGAGUAGAAGAAGGGCCUCCUCAUAGCUUUGUGAAGGUCCCAGGAUCAUUAUCGUAGCUACAGAUAGAACUGCAAGAUCCUUGUAUCAUUAGGAGUUCCAGUCAGACAUCUCUGCCAUUAUUAGACUUCCAAACACAGCAAAACACUGUGGGGGCCUUAACAAUAUUGUUCCCUAAGACAUGUCUUUAUUUAAUGAUGCAGAGUUGUUAUGGGGCUGGCAGUUGGUUACUCAGUUUCUGGAGCAUUACCAUUUAACCUAGGGUCAGAAUAAAAAUCCUUGAAUAUUUGUUGCAAGGCAGAUCUUUUGCUUCACUGAGGGACUUGUCUUCACAGUCAACCAUGGUAUGACUCCUCCAAGUGGUCCUACUGGCUCUGAGAGGUGAGCCCAGCAGUCUAGAAAGCCUGAAGACCCUUCCUAAAAAGAUGAACCCUGCGCUCUGUGCCUGUAGUUGACAUUUGGCAGCAGAGGAGCAGUCUGACAGCAUGGCAUCUGAUGUGGAAGUACAUAUGCAACAGAAGUCUGGAACUGAAUUCCUCCAUGCAGAAAAAGUUGCACCUAGUGACAUUAACUGAUGCUUGCUGAACAUUUAUGGAGACCAAACAGUGGAUGUGAGCACAGUGAGGCAGUGAGUAUCAGUGCAUUUCAGCAAUGAUGACAGCAACCAUAGGUCACCGCCGCUGGUGCAGGUUGUGAUGAACAUAGUAUUCAGGCUCUUGUUCAUCACUGGUGAAAAUGCACCAGGUAAUGGUGGUGGCUAUGUUGAAAAAUAGGGUUUUAUAGUUGAGAAUUUGCUCUCUCAAACAGUUGCUGUGCUCAUUGUAUCUGUUGUAGUUUCCACAAAAAUAAAUAGGAGGCGUUAGGUUUGGAGUGACCUACAUAUAUGUGGACCAAGACAGUUCCUCUUCACUCAGUGCAGCCUAGGCAAGCCAAAGGGUUGGACACCAUGCAGUAUACCAUUAGCACAAAGCCUCUUCCAUCACAGUGGUGAUUAAAAGAAGUGGUAAAAAAAAAUCCAGAUACUGUUGUUUUUGAAGAGGGCUGAUUUUCUGAGAAUGAAUUCUCAGCACAUUCUAAACAGGCACCUUCAAGAAGUAUCCAGUUAUUCAAGCCUUGGUCAUUCACGGGGGGAUCUUGCCCUAACUAAAAAACAUACUCAUUGCAUUCUCAAUGAAAAAAUAUAAAGCUGACUCCACAAUUGGCCUGCUUCAUACAUGUCUUAACCCCCUGAAUUGCUUGGAGUAGUAGCAUAUGGGAUCUUUUAUUCACAAGUGCAGUAGUGUCUGAGUGCAUGAGGAGUGCUGAUUAUAGCUGUUGUGAGUCUUAAAGUGCUUUUCUGGCAUCUCAAGAGAGGCAAAUUCUUAAAAUAAGUAAAUUGAUCUUUUGAGGACUCUUUGCUGCACCAGUGAAGUAUUUUAGCAGUGAUGACUUGCAGAGAAGUGAUAGAGGAAAUACUCACAAGUGACUUCCAAAGCAAGGUGCUUCAGUUGUGAAGCUGAGUAGUUUUAAGAUGAGAUUUUAAGAGGUCCUGGAUGCCUCCUCAAGUUGCUUCCUCAAGCAUCUGCACAUCGACUCCCUUCAUAAUUUGAGCUGAGCAUACAAAAACACAGUAUGGGUAGGCACUCCUGAAUGUGCUGCUCUGUGUCACUUCCUCAUAGUCACUUGGCAGUUCAAUAAUAGAAUUAAGAACAUAGGGUUCUUUAUGUCUAUUGUGUCCAUUAGAACAAUGCUGCUGAGAACAACUGAGACAAAAGGCCUGGCCUUCAAAACAUAGAGCCUGAAAGGAAAGCUUCGGGGGGUUUUUUUGGUAAGGUCCAAAUGUGUUUCAUUCAGCUUUGCUGCUACUCCCAAAGUCUGGUUAUAAACAAGUAUGAUAUUUACCCUGGAAGCUGCACAUCUGGAUUGCAGUGUCUGUAACUGCUUUCAUUGUCACAGCAGUUUUGAGCCUCAUAAUAUUCUGUGUGUGUAGAGAACAGCUUGUAAGAGGUAACCUGAGCCAGCUCUGUUUUAUGAUUGAAGAGCUUAAAUAUCUUGAACCACCAGUCCGCAAGAUAGCCACAGCCUUCAACCUUCUAUAUAUGAUUCCACAGUCCUGACAUUUUGCUUUUAAUGUCCUGUAGAAUUCUUCUAACUGCUCCCUAUCAAAUUUCCAUGCUGACUUUUUGUCCAAAGCAAUAACGUACCAGCUGCUUUCAGGGGAGAUGAGCAUGAACUUCCGAAGAGUCCACCUCUAGGUGUAAACCCUUUUGUACUGCUAGACAGCAGUAGAACCUUGACAUUCAUUUCUUUACAUUGCAAAUAUAGGGAUGUAAGCUGCCAGCAUUAUCAGUACUUAGUGCCAAGUGACAAAAUAUUGUGUCUGAAUAACACCUUUGUAAGUGACAGCUUGUUUCCUUACUGCAAGGUUAUCAUAUCCUUGGUGUCUUUGGAUACUGCACUGUGGAGGCUGUACAUAUCUGAAUGAAUUAAUGAUUAAAACGUUCUGUUAAUUAAUGGCUUAGGAAAAAUCCCAGUCCCGUGUCUUGAUUCCACCUGUGGUUGCCCAGACCACGUCAAUGCAAGUGAUGCUGGAAAAGCUGUAGGAACAAAUAGCCAUUUUGUUCCAAUGUGGACAAAGAACCACUCGAAGGGACGUAAAACUCAGAGGCUUCCAUUUGUGCAUGAUUCAUACAAAGUAAGGGUUUGAAUGUGCAUAGCUGCUGGCAGAAUGGAAAGAGGACACAAACUGUUCAGUCUAAGGGACUGAGGUCAGCUAGAGAAGGCUACAUUUGCUUGAAAGAACUGACAGACUACAUCGCUUCUCUCUUUUCUCUUUCACUUCUUGGAAAGGUCAUCCUAAAAGCUUUUCCAGACCUAAAGCCAUGGUAGCAAGGUGUCAGUGUGGAAGUGUUAAGAUGCAGCACUUCUGUUGUAAAUUUGCUUUUACCUUCUGCUCUUAAGUUACUCCUACUCCUCACUAAAGCUGUGGCUUGACAGCCAACUGACUUCUGCAUAGCUUGUGGCUGAUUACCUCAUGUUCCUGGUUUCCUUUGUGCUUGCCUGGGUAGUUCUUUGCUCUCACAAGCAGAAAUAUGGACAGAGCCAUAGAAGAGUCAUUUAUUAACCACAUAGCUUCAGGCAAACAAAUAAGGCUGCACACCCCAGUCUGGAUAAUACUGUGCUGUGGAACUGUUUGAAGCUUUGCAGAUUUACUGAUAGCAGUGGAAGGCCAGGCUGCAAAGCACAGAGGUAGAGAUGCAACGUGUGUUUGUCCAGCAUCUGGCAUGCCCUUACCCUUCUAACUGAGCAUCUCUGUGGACCUCUUUCAUUAAUCAUUAACACAUGAUACUUCGAAUAAGUUCUUUCUCAGAAGCUACUGCAAUACUGAGGAUUAAUUUUAGCCUGCCUAUUUACUCUGUUCUUCAGCAACAGCAGAAAUUAAUUUCUUGGACAGGUUAUGUGAAUGAUUAUUCAUGUUAUUAAAUAGUAUGGUCUUUCUGGAUUAUAUAAAGUCAAAUCUAGGGAUCUGCCAUUUGUUCUGCCUAAAAUUAUUUUUUCUUCUCUAAUGCAGAAUGUAUAGGUAUGUGUAAUUCACUUUUUUUUUUUUUUUUUUUUUUUGAGCUUAAAAUAAGGUCAUA
This is an RNA transcript of Gallus gallus (chicken), 6606 nucleotides long. RefSeq lists it as uncharacterized. The transcript is spliced from 3 exons. NCBI's taxonomy places the organism in Eukaryota, Metazoa, Chordata, Aves, Galliformes, Phasianidae. The record is from RefSeq and is a predicted model, not a curated record.